This 251-nucleotide ribosomal RNA is filed under the name uncultured bacterium. Its description in RNAcentral is "partial 16S ribosomal RNA". It matches the Rfam family "Bacterial small subunit ribosomal RNA", at positions 524 to 769 of the family's 1533-position model. The record is from RNAcentral.
UACAGAGGGUGCAAGCGUUAAUCGGAAUUACUGGGCGUAAAGCGUGCGCAGACGGUUGCGUAAGUCAGAUGUGAAAGCCCCGGGCUCAACCUGGGAAUUGCAUUUGAGACUGCGUAGCUAGGGUGCGGAAGAGGGAAGCGGAAUUUCCGGUGUGAGCGGUGGAAAUGACGUGAGAGUAUCGGAAGGAACACCAGUGGCGAAAGCGGCUUCCUGGUCCAGCACCGACGUUCAGGCACGAAAGCGUGGGGAGC